AUGACACCCCAGUCGGAGGCCGGCAGGGGCCUCCCGCAGCCGCCCCGCCCUCGGGCCUCGCCGGAGAGCUCCGACCCCGGCGGUACCUGCGAGACCCGCCCCCUCAGCGGCCCACGCGGCCCGGGAGCCCUCUCCCUCCCUCCACCCACCGCACGCCCGAACCUGCGCACCGCGCCGCCGCCGCCGCCGCGCGCUCCGGGCACUUCCGGCGCCCGGACUUCCUCGCGAGAGGACCAGGCGGCGCGGGCGGAGGGCGCGCGAGCGCGCCCCCGAGGCCACACGCCUGCUCGUAGGCGAGGCGUGGUCACAAGCGUGUGCGCGCGCCCGCCGGCCCCGGCCCGUUUCCCCGAAAUUCGCCCCUCGGCGUCGAUGCGCAGGCGUAGGUUUGGGAGCGAGGCCUCAGGGACUGCGGGGGUAAGAAAAGGAGCGCAAACUUUUGGUCCUCAUCGGCCGGGGCCUGCAUUGACAGCCUGUAAACGGGUUGUUUUCAGUCCCGGUUAGAAUCACCUGGAGAGAUUUUUUUUUAACCCCGCCCCGGUAGCAGCCCAGACCAAUUAAAAGAGAAUUGAUACGGAAUGCGACCCAAUAUAUAUUAAAAUUCUAGGUGAUCCCAGUUUGCAGCCAAGGUGGGAGGGCCCUGCUCCAAAACCUCUGAGUAGGCAUAUAUCCCGAUUAUCCCAUUAAGCGUCAACAGUUUAUUGGUGGGAGUAGCCCCACCGUAAAAAAUGGGGGCUGUGGCCUCGGAGCUACCCGAGGAUCUACUAGGACAAAGUAUCUGGGAUCCGCAAACGCACGGGGCAUGGGCUGUGCCCUAAAAGGCUUACCGGUCAGCUUGGCCAACUUGUAAGAUGUCUCUUUGUGCAGGACAAAUGUAAAGGUCAGCAUGUUCAAAAAGUUCACAGAAGUUAGGACUCUGGUUAAGAGAAUGGGACCGGAUCGUCCUGUGAUUCUGGAACUUAAAAAUCUCUGGUAGAAAACCCAUCUACCUUUCACUUCUUUCCCUUGCUGGAAGGAGAGAGAAGCGAUAGAACCUUCCAACUUUCACAAGCCCUAUCGUCUUGCCUUCUCUCUGGAUAUCCCCUGGGAAGUACCAGAGGUAGACUAAUUCCUUCAGCAACAAAGAUUUGAAGCACUUGUUUUGUGGCACUGUUCUUGACUCCUAUCUGAUGCUUACCCUGCCCCCUCUCAGAGGUAGGCUUUUUCCCUUGCCUUUGCUGCAGUUUAGCAUGACCCCCAAAUUCUUCUGGAGGCAACAUUUUGAACGUGAAAACGGACUUACCUUUGGUAUCUACGAAGUGCGUUUUCAGGUGUUAACGUUCUGCGGUAGCAGUGAUAGAUAAUCUGGAUACUGGGGGUGGGGGGGGCAGUGUCUAUCCACUUAACAUUCUUAAAAUUGAAUGCCCAUUUUCUUAAAAUUGAAGUUAUCCUGAUUCUGAACCCUCCUACAGCACAUGAAAAGGACUGUCAGUGGAGGAGUCACUCGGUGCUAGCAGACAGGGGAGAGUAGAAGCAUUCCCAGAGAACUUCCCGGAAGGUGAAGAAACUGGGCCCGUCUACUGAGGCUCAGUUUUCUUGGAGCCCAGCAGAUGUGACGCUUCUAGUCUGCCGUGGUACGAAGCCACUCCAUAGUGUGAGAAUCUCGUGACUGUCUGGCUAAUGGGAUAAAACUCCUCUCUCGGAGCUCCAAGAUCUGCUUGCUCACUUUGGGUGCUUUUUCCCCUCAGUCUUGCUGAGUUAACACUUAUACUGAAUCGCCUGAAAUCAAAUUGUAGAGAUCUUAUCUUCAGUGUAUUGCAAUGACCUUCUUAGCUGACCCUCAAGUAAUUUAACCCAUGUCCUAAUGUUCAAUUAAAAUUGCAUCAAAUAGGUGAAA
RNA transcript from Felis catus (domestic cat), 1873 nucleotides. It is a transcript of the gene named Y-box-binding protein 2-like, with no coding region annotated. The record is from RefSeq and is a predicted model, not a curated record. The transcript is spliced from 2 exons. Lineage: Eukaryota; Metazoa; Chordata; Mammalia; Carnivora; Felidae.